UGAUUGUGGGAAGCCAUUCCGAA
This 23-nucleotide non-coding RNA is filed under the name Mus musculus (house mouse). Lineage: Eukaryota; Metazoa; Chordata; Mammalia; Rodentia; Muridae. The record is from RNAcentral.